This 712-nucleotide long non-coding RNA is filed under the name Rattus norvegicus (Norway rat). Its description in RNAcentral is "long non-coding RNA NONRATT011333". The record is from RNAcentral. Lineage: Eukaryota; Metazoa; Chordata; Mammalia; Rodentia; Muridae.
CAGUCCUUAUUGUAAGAGCUGUCAUCUGUCCAUAAUUGACCAUUUUACUAAAAAAUAGAUAACAGUUGACAAUCCAAUGCUAUCUUCUUGGUAUGCCAGAGGCAACAGGACUGUAAUAUGUGGACAUUGAUGGCUGUUGAGGUUCAAGGAUGUGGAUUGUUCUACCUGUGACUUGGCAUCAUUCCUGGCAUCACAGAGGAGUGUGACUCUUCCAAUCCAUGGACAGGCCAGAAGUCAACUUGCAUUAGAAAAUGUGCUAUUACCAAGAAGCAUGUCACCAAGACAACCGAAUAGAACUGUCCAGAGUAUGUCCUUCUGCAGAAAUAUCAAUUGAGACAACUAUCCAGGCAUGAAAUACCUUCAUAAGAACUAAACAAAACAGAACCAUCCCUUUAUUCUUCUUCUUUCCCCUACAAUGAAGUGAUUCUUUACAACAUCCUGUGCUCCUUUUAAAGCCCAUUGGUUCCUUGUGGUGCUGUCAGAAUGUACAUGAGGAACGUCUACUGAAGAAAGGAAAGCCUCUCAGAAGCCAAAUACCUGAAGAAAACUCACUCUGCCUCUCAUAAGAAUCCAUCAGUGGCCAAUAUCACCUCAGGACGUAUCCCAGAUGAUUGAGUCGGGGGAAAGUCUACAAAAGUUUGGAUGUUGAUUAUUUCCUAAUAUCCCAGAAAUGAGAGGAAAGCCUAAACAUGAUCUAGGAUUAAGGUAUUGC